UGACGCAGACCCGAAACCAAGUGACCUACCCAUGACCAGGUUGAAGGCGCGGUAAAACGCGCUGGAGGACCGAACCCACGUAAGUUGAAAAUUGCGGGGAUGAGUUGUGGGUAGCGGUGAAAUUCCAAACGAACUUGGAGAUAGCUGGUUCUCUCCGAAAUAGCUUUAGGGCUAGCCUCGCAAAGAGGAUGCUGGAGGUAGAGCUCUGUUUGGACUAGGGGCCCGUCAAGGGUUACUGAAUUCAGAUAAACUGCGAAUUCCAGACAUUUAUGUGCGGGAGUCAGACUGCGAGUGAUAAGAUCCGUAGUCGAAAGGGAAACAGCCCAGAUCACCAGUUAAGGUCCCAAAAUUCAUGCUAAGUGGAAAAGGAUGUGGAGUUGCGCAGACAACUAGGACGUUGGCUCAGAAGCAGCCAUCAUUCAAAGAGUGCGUAAUAGCUCACUAGUCGAGUGACGCCGCGCCGAAAAUUUACCGGGGCUAAGCAUGAUACCGAAACUGUGGAUGUGCGUUUAUGCACGUGGUAGGAGAGCGUUCUAGCGGCGGUGAAGCAUGACCGAGAG
RNAcentral lists this ribosomal RNA (560 nucleotides) under Lactobacillus delbrueckii subsp. bulgaricus. Its description in RNAcentral is "partial 23S ribosomal RNA". It matches the Rfam family "Bacterial large subunit ribosomal RNA", at positions 705 to 1267 of the family's 2925-position model. Lineage: Bacteria; Bacillati; Bacillota; Bacilli; Lactobacillales; Lactobacillaceae. The record is from RNAcentral.